RNAcentral lists this ribosomal RNA (253 nucleotides) under uncultured bacterium. Its description in RNAcentral is "partial 16S ribosomal RNA". It matches the Rfam family "Bacterial small subunit ribosomal RNA", at positions 524 to 776 of the family's 1533-position model. The record is from RNAcentral.
UACAGAGGUCUCAAGCGUUGUCCGGAAUUAUUGGGCGUAAAGGGUGCGUAGGUGGCGCCGUAAGUCGGGUGUGAAAUUUCGGAGCUUAACUCCGAAACUGCAUUCGAUACUGCGGUGCUUGAGGACUGGAGAGGAGACUGGAAUUCAUGGUGUAGCAGUGAAAUGCGUAGAGAUCGUAAGGAAGACCAGUGGCGAAGGCGGGUCUCUGGACAGUUCCUGACACUGAGGCACGAAGGCCAGGGGAGCGAACGGG